Molecule: ribosomal RNA, 253 nt
Filed under: uncultured bacterium
Lineage: Bacteria
Description: partial 16S ribosomal RNA
Rfam family: Bacterial small subunit ribosomal RNA
Source: RNAcentral
GACGAACCGUGCGACCGUUGUUCGGAAUCACUGGGCAUAAAGGGCGCGUAGGCGGCUUACCAAGUCAGGGGUGAAAUCCGGCAGCUCAACUGUCGAAGUGCCUUUGAUACUGACGAGCUCGAGGGAGAUAGGGGUGUGUGGAACUUCCGGUGGAGCGGUGAAAUGCGUUGAUAUCGGAAGGAACGCCGGUGGCGAAAGCGACACACUGGAUCUCUUCUGACGCUGAGGCGCGAAAGCCAGGGGAGCAAACGGG